GUGUGCUCCAGGCUUUGUCUGUGUUUGCCCAGAGUCUGAUUUAAAGGACAACAAAGCAAAACUAACAGCAACAAAGUAAAACUUAGGAAGUUUCUCUUUUUAGUGUGGUUGUACUUAUCCACAGCAGUGUCUUUAACUCUGAAAAUACAACUGACCCUGGUCCCUGCUCGGAGCGCUUCUGUUGUUCAGGAGGUGGAUAGAGAACCCUCCAGUUUCCAGUCCCUGCGUGACUUGAGUUUUGGGAGUCGAGUAGGAACAUUAUCACUCUUGCUGCUGCUGCAGCCGCCGCUGCUGCAGUCAGUUUUGGAGAGUCUCUGCUCGCUGAUAAAGAUACAGUGUUUCUUCACACUUUAUCCCGGAGGACGUAGAGAAACAAAUUACCCCUCAACAGCUUCCAUGUCGCCCCAUUGUUCCCCCACUGUUAUGGAAACAUAGACCCUGCGUUUUCUUUUCAUUUUCCUGGAGCAAGUCUUUCCUGUUGCUUCCUGCUGCUGGGUAGCAAGGGCUCAGUGGUGAGCCUUUGUCCUGGCUGCGGCUGUGUUAGUAAGCUGGCUUCACUUCAGACGUCUCCUUAUUGGACAUGGUGCAAUGGGUUUUCUGGAAUGCGUGCUGGAAGUUCAUUUUUUGGGAGGGACUCUUCCUUUGGAUUGGCAGCUCCUGUGUCCCAGCUUCCGAGUGGUGUUAAUGUUUGUGGUUAUCUGGAGCUAACAAGUGAGAAAUAGCUUCUUCUAAAAAAUAUUUAGGCCUGGCUUGGUGUCACACCUUUAAUCCUUGCAUUCCAGAGGCAGAGACAAUCAGCUACUUGAGUUCAAGGCCAGCCAGGUCUACUUA
RNAcentral lists this long non-coding RNA (831 nucleotides) under Rattus norvegicus (Norway rat). RNAcentral describes it as "long non-coding RNA NONRATT009725". Lineage: Eukaryota; Metazoa; Chordata; Mammalia; Rodentia; Muridae. The record is from RNAcentral.